GCGCGAAACCUGUGCAAUGCGCGCAAGCGCGACACGGGGAGCCUGAGUGCCUUGACUAAGUCAAGGCUUUUCUUAAGCCUAAAAAGCUUGAGGAAUAAGAGCUGGGCAAGACGGGUGCCAGCCGCCGCGGUAACACCCGCAGCUCGAGUGGUAGUCACUUUUAUUGAGCCUAAAGCGUUCGUAGCCGGUUUUGUAAAUCCUCAGACAAAUUCUCCUGCUUAACGGGAGAUACUCUGGAGAGACUGCGAAACUAGGGACCGGGUGAGGUUGAAGGUACUUCUGGGGUAGGGGUAAAAUCCUGUAAUCCUGGAAGGACGACCAGUGGCGAAGGCGUUCAACUAGAACGGAUCCGACGGUGAGGAACGAGGGCUAGGGGAGCAAACCGG
This 386-nucleotide ribosomal RNA is filed under the name uncultured Thermoplasmatales archaeon. RNAcentral describes it as "bacterial SSU rRNA". It matches the Rfam family "Archaeal small subunit ribosomal RNA", at positions 339 to 727 of the family's 1478-position model. The record is from RNAcentral. Lineage: Archaea; Methanobacteriati; Thermoplasmatota; Thermoplasmata; Thermoplasmatales.